UUUUUGGACUGGAACUGUGUUUUACACACACAAAAAAAUGAUAAAAAGAUUCGGUGCAGUAUUUUAUUAUUUUAAUGAAACAAAACGUGAUAAAGAACUGAUAGAGAAUUUUAUUGUGGUCUGUGGCCGACUGUAAUGUGUUGCAAUUCGAAAUUGACAUAUUUGACCUAAAUACGACAACCGUUCAUGCUGGCUUUUAAAAAUUCCUCCCUCUGAAAAAUCACAUUGCAUGUAAUUUGCUUGUUUACAAAC
RNAcentral lists this long non-coding RNA (252 nucleotides) under Mytilus galloprovincialis (Mediterranean mussel). The record is from RNAcentral. Lineage: Eukaryota; Metazoa; Mollusca; Bivalvia; Mytilida; Mytilidae.